CCCUUAGAUGUUCUGGGCCGCACGCGUGCUACACUGAGUGGAUCAGCGGGUCAGGUUGCGCGAAAGUGUUUCCUAAUCUUGAAAUCCGCUCGUGAUGGGGAUUGACGGUUGCAAUUUUCCGUCAUGAACGAGGAAUACCUUGUAAGCGCGGGUCAUCAUCCCGCGCUGAAUACGUCCCUGCCCUUUGUACACACCGCCCGUCGCUCCUACCGAUUGAGUGGUCCGGUGAGGCUUUGGGAUCUGAGCAAAAAGAGCGUUUCGCUCGUUUGGCUCGGAAAACUCAGUCGAACCUUAUCAUUUAGAGGAAGGAGGAGUCGUAACA
RNAcentral lists this ribosomal RNA (322 nucleotides) under uncultured eukaryote. RNAcentral's name for it is "partial 18S ribosomal RNA". It matches the Rfam family "Eukaryotic small subunit ribosomal RNA", at positions 1470 to 1796 of the family's 1831-position model. The record is from RNAcentral.